GUUAGAGUUACGCGCGCGUAGCGUCUAAAUAAGGAGAAGGUAGUUAGUCGAGCCUGUAGCUCAGGCAACCACCAAGCUGUAAUGUUGCGGUCUCCAAUGCAAGCAGUUGAAAACCGGAGUGCCAAUUAAGGCAGAAACCAGAACGAAAAACAUGACUUGUCACCUCACUCCAUCCGUACCUCGGAGGAGUUGCCCUGUUAGAUUCCUGCUGGAGGGCUGUUUUGAACAUUGACUGGACUGGUAUGUGAAAUCUGUUUGAGAACAUGGAGUUUGCAAGGAAGGGGUGUCAAACUGAUUUCUCCCAUUUCUGAAAAGAAAAUCUUUUUGUUGAAUUCAGAGUGAAGUAUAUUUUUUGUGCUGGAAGAGUGAUUGAAGGAACUUCACAAUGCAGUAUUGUAUUUCCUGAGCAAACUGUGUUUGCGGUGUUCCAAAAACAACCAUGCAUGUUUGGUGACCCAAUCCUAUACACUAGAACAUUAGAAUGACAAACUUUGGAAUACACUAUACUUUAUCCUUUUGCCUUCAACCCUUUGGCUAAAGUGUUUAAUUCUGCAGAGAAAUCCAUUUUAAGCUCUUUUUUCCUGAAGCAUGUCUGUAAGUCUGUGUUUAUGUGUGUAUUUUGCGGUUAUGUGAAGAGAUAAACAUUUAUGCUUUUAUAUUACUGUGUAUGAUGACCAUUUAUUAA
Chiloscyllium plagiosum (whitespotted bambooshark) is the source of this 685-nucleotide non-coding RNA. The record is from RefSeq and is a predicted model, not a curated record. Lineage: Eukaryota; Metazoa; Chordata; Chondrichthyes; Orectolobiformes; Hemiscylliidae.